RNAcentral lists this long non-coding RNA (204 nucleotides) under Struthio camelus australis. Its description in RNAcentral is "lncRNA (ENSSCUG00000000570.1)". The record is from RNAcentral. Lineage: Eukaryota; Metazoa; Chordata; Aves; Struthioniformes; Struthionidae.
GUGUGGGGCUGGGGGGGACGUGAGGGGCAGGGUACAUAUGGGGCAGGGCUCGGCCAUGGGUCCAGCCCUCCUGCUAUGGGGCAACCCCUCAUAUCACCACCCCCCACCAGGCACGUGGGUCACAUCGGAUGGGACCCCAACAGCGGCUUCAACGUGCAGGAGCUGGACCCAGACUUGCGGGCGCUGUUCGCCCCGGCCGGCAUC